This 211-nucleotide unclassified non-coding RNA is filed under the name Gymnopilus crociphyllus. RNAcentral describes it as "partial internal transcribed spacer 2". RNAcentral also lists the same sequence under 1 other name. The record is from RNAcentral. Lineage: Eukaryota; Fungi; Basidiomycota; Agaricomycetes; Agaricales; Galerinaceae.
AAUUCUCAACCUUACUAGCUUUUACUAGCUAUGUAAUGGCUUGGAAGUGGGGGUCUUUUGCUGGUUUCGCAAGAAGUCAGCUCCCCUAAAAUGCAUUAGCCGGUGCCCCGCGUGGACCGUCUAUUGGUGUGAUAAUUAUCUACGCCGUUAGAUGUCUGCUAUUAAAUGGGAUGUGCUGCUUCUAAUCGUCCGUCUUGGACAAUUAAUGACU